Molecule: long non-coding RNA, 335 nt
Filed under: Homo sapiens (human)
Lineage: Eukaryota; Metazoa; Chordata; Mammalia; Primates; Hominidae
Description: HSALNT0106083
Source: RNAcentral
CGGGAGGUUCCGGCUGCCCUAGGCCGGAACACAGGCACAAGUCCGGGGCGAUCGCUCUCUGGGGAAGCAGGGCCAGCGUCCCAGAGCCCAGGGUGCCCGGAAUGGGACAUGGAUAGGGUCCCGGAAUUGGCCUUCUCCGGAAUCGGAAUCUGAGCGAGGACUCCGGGAUCCCCAGCCUGAGGACCUCCGGCGUUUCCACUCCCUGGCUCCCCGUCCCACCUGUUGCCUUUGCUAUGCCUACCCUGGUUCUUUUUCGUGCUAUGGAGACAGCGUGGGCAACUCCAGCGCAAGAAGGUGCAGCUGUUGUGGAGAUCUGCUGACCAAUGUCAAGUUCA